AGAGUUUGAUCCUGGCUCAGAAUGAACGCUGGCGGCGUGCUUUACACAUGCAAGUCGAGCGAGGCCAGGUAGCAAUACCUGAGUCGAGCGGCGCACGGGUGAGUAACGCGUGGAUAACCUGCCUGAGGGUGGGGGAUAACCCGGGGAAACUCGGGCUAAUACCGCAUAAAACCGCGAGGUCAAAGGGGGCCGCAAGGCUCUCGCCUGCAGAGGGGUCCGCGUCCGAUUAGCUAGUUGGCAGGGUAAUGGCCUACCAAGGCGACGAUCGGUAGCCGGCCUGAGAGGGUGAUCGGCCACACUGGAACUGAGACACGGUCCAGACUCCUACGGGAGGCAGCAGUGGGGAAUUUUGCGCAAUGGGGGAAACCCUGACGCAGUAACGCCGCGUGGAGGAUGAAGGUCUUCGGAUUGUAAACUCCUGUCAGUGGGGAAAAAGGGGAACGUGCUCAUACCACGUUUCAUUGAUUGUACCCGCAGAGGAAGCCCCGGCUAACUCUGUGCCAGCAGCCGCGGUAAUACAGAGGGGGCAAGCGUUAUUCGGAAUUAUUGGGCGUAAAGGGCGCGUAGGCGGUCGUUCAAGUGGUAGGUGAAAUCCCUCGGCUCAACCGAGGAGCUGCCCGCCAAACUGAAUGACUUGAGUCCGGGAGAGGUGAGUGGAAUUCCCAGUGUAGCGGUGAAAUGCGUAGAUAUUGGGAGGAACACCAGUGGCGAAGGCGGCUCACUGGACCGGCACUGACGCUGAGGCGCGAAAGCGUGGGGAGCAAACGGGAUUAGAUACCCUGGUAGUCC
This 789-nucleotide ribosomal RNA is filed under the name uncultured bacterium. RNAcentral describes it as "bacterial SSU rRNA". It matches the Rfam family "Bacterial small subunit ribosomal RNA", at positions 8 to 796 of the family's 1533-position model. The record is from RNAcentral.